GGCUUUUAAUGCAGUCUAGCUGUGGCAUCUGUCACCAGGCUGACUGCCAGGAUUGACUGAGUGAUCUGGCAUCUUAGUCCAGAGUUCCCUUCCUCUGAGAGUUCCAUGUGUGUUCUUCCCAAAGUGUCAACUCAAUCAAAAAGAAUGACAUUUCCAAACUGACAAAGUCUAUUCUUAGUCAGGAUAUACGGGGAGCUGAACUCCCCGGCUAGAUCUUUCCAACAAGCAUUGACAUCCCCUUGCAAGCAAAUGCAUGUUAGCCGAAUCUGUUUUAAAGAGUGCCUCUCUCCACCUGAUAUUUUGUU
Camelus ferus (Wild Bactrian camel) is the source of this 305-nucleotide non-coding RNA. The record is from Rfam. NCBI's taxonomy places the organism in Eukaryota, Metazoa, Chordata, Mammalia, Artiodactyla, Camelidae.